UUUGAGUUGAUGACGACGGCUGCUCAGCAAGAUUACUCGGUCUUUCAAUUAUUAUUUUGAACUAAUUUGCGAUGUGACAUGUAAACGAAGGAGAACAGAAGAUGUGAACACACAGAAGACGCUCAGACUGGAUGCGUGAGAUCCUGCAAUAUUGUCGAUCAGCACUGGAAGAAGAUUUUUGGGGGGAGAGCAGGCACCCAACAGAGAGACAAAUCCACCACGGCAUGAUUAUCAACUUCAUUAUUGACAAAGAAAGGAGAACAUGUCACCAUCAUGAGCCCUUUAUUUAGUUCACGGAAGAACAUCAAGGGAAAGACCCUCAGACGUGUCAUAACAGGAUAAAUGUGGCUACAGGACGCAUCACCCCACCCCAUCCCAGAUUGACCAAGGAUCCAGAUGAGUACUGGCAAUUUGGUGGAGGAUUGCUCUUUAUCUACUACAUUGUACUGUCACUUCCGAGGCUCUUAGGAAGACAACACAGAUCAACUGGCAAGGAACUGAGAGGGAACUCUCAAAAUAGUUCAGGACAAGAGAUGGAGGAG
This is a non-coding RNA of Pimephales promelas (fathead minnow), 542 nucleotides long. The record is from RefSeq and is a predicted model, not a curated record. Lineage: Eukaryota; Metazoa; Chordata; Actinopteri; Cypriniformes; Leuciscidae.